Non-coding RNA from Caenorhabditis elegans, 146 nucleotides. Lineage: Eukaryota; Metazoa; Nematoda; Chromadorea; Rhabditida; Rhabditidae. The record is from Ensembl.
UAACCUAUUUGCCGAGUCUCAAAUGGCCACAUAGGUAAUUCAAUCUAAUUUUCCCGAGCUCGCCCUCCUCGUCUUGUCGUCCGCGUGUGCUCAUCAUCGUCCUUCAAAUCCGAUUACGUGGUGUGGCAACAACGAGACGAAGCAUA